Molecule: ribosomal RNA, 441 nt
Filed under: Triticum aestivum (bread wheat)
Lineage: Eukaryota; Viridiplantae; Streptophyta; Magnoliopsida; Poales; Poaceae
Description: partial small subunit ribosomal RNA
Source: RNAcentral
AUGACACCAUCGGAUUCACUACCACGGGCAGUCUGGGAUGCUGCAACCAGCGGCCGAGGUUGCCGUGUCCUCGUCAAUGACGCUACAAACUACCACAUGAUGCUUGGGACGGCGACAUCUCAGUACUGCAUCGGAGGCAGCAGGCCUGCUUACGAUGACGGUGACCCGUUGAAGGACGAGAGCGGAUGGCCGGUGAGCACGGGCGGCUGGGGCGACGAGCACGGGUGCGUCGUUGGCCGGCAAGCACAGGCGGCCAAGGAAGACUGGAUGUGCAUCGACAGCGGCGAGCAAGGAGUCCGCCAUGGAUGGGAGUUGCUGGUCAACGCUGAGCCAGAUGUGAAGGGGAAAAGAUUAUGCAGGGAAAUUAACGGUUGGAGGUGGCCUAAUCCUAGGAUUGGGGGCCGACCGUCCGAAAUUUUCGACCCCCGCGCCGACGCCUAG